UUUCUCUUCCGUUCUCUGCUCUGUUUUCGAGUGGGAGAGAUGGAUAAGGUUCUUCUUCACCUUUAGAAUCUUUGAUUUUUCUCAAAACGAAGAAGAUAAACGAACGAGUGGGUUCUCCGGUUUACCAUCUUCAUCGUCGGGACUCGGGAGAUUCUAAGGAGGAGGAUUCUCCGAUCGGAAGAGCGAGGAAGAUGACGGAAAUAUCGAAAGAGUUAUGGCCAAGGUUGAUGAUCAAUCGAGACUGGGUUACAACAACGCAUCUACGAAUUAGGACUUUUAGGCUGGUGGGAAGCGCGGAUGCAGGAAAUAGCGUUUUAAUAUGCGGGCAACAAUCUAGGCUUAGAUUCUUGAGAUUCUUGAAGCUGCUGCUGCAUAUACUCUCCAACAGUCCAAGAUUGGUAAUUGACAAAGUCUCCAGGUUUCCGAGACGUUCUUCAUCUACUCCAGUAAAAAGGAUUUCUAUAUCCGCGCACAUCUCCAGCCAACAACCUUUCACUGACUUCAAAUCAUUAAAUAUUGAUGAGAGACGUGCCGCUGUAUUGUCCACAAUAGCCACAAACUCAACUUUAGCUAAGGUUUCCUUAUCUUCAUCUACGCCAUUAGAUCCUUGG
Camelina sativa (false flax) is the source of this 611-nucleotide long non-coding RNA. RefSeq lists it as uncharacterized. The record is from RefSeq and is a predicted model, not a curated record. Lineage: Eukaryota; Viridiplantae; Streptophyta; Magnoliopsida; Brassicales; Brassicaceae.